RNAcentral lists this small nuclear RNA (292 nucleotides) under Myotis davidii. Its description in RNAcentral is "7SK RNA". It matches the Rfam family "7SK RNA". Rfam says of the family: 7SK was discovered as an abundant small nuclear RNA in the mid-70s but a possible function has only recently been suggested. Two independent studies have found that 7SK RNA binds the CDK9/cyclin T complex (known as elongation factor P-TEFb). P-TEFb activates transcription by phosphorylating the C-terminal domain of RNA polymerase II. The record is from Rfam by way of RNAcentral. Lineage: Eukaryota; Metazoa; Chordata; Mammalia; Chiroptera; Vespertilionidae.
GGGUGUGAGGGCGAUCUGGCUGCGACAUCUGUCACCCCAUUGAUCGCCAGGGUUGAUUUGGCUGAUCUGGCUGGCUAGGCGGGUGUCCCCCUCCUCCCUCACCGAUCCAUGUGUGUCCCUCCCGUCCCUCCCGAAGAAGACGACCUUCCCCCCCCCUGAGGAGAGGACCGAUCUUCGGUCAAGGGUAUACGAGUAGCUGCGCUCCCCUGCUAGAACCUCCAAACAAGCUCUCAAGACACAGUGAGCAUUUCUAACUAAAGUCUAUAGUUUAAAAAAGUGUCAGUCUCUAUAU